GGGUGAUUAGCUCAGUUGGUUAGAGCGCGCCGUUCACAUCGGCGAGGUCUCAGGUUCGAAUCCUGAAUCACCCACCA
RNAcentral lists this transfer RNA (77 nucleotides) under Candidatus Uhrbacteria bacterium. RNAcentral describes it as "tRNA-Val". It matches the Rfam family "tRNA". From Rfam's summary of the family: Transfer RNA (tRNA) molecules are approximately 80 nucleotides in length. The record is from RNAcentral. Lineage: Bacteria; Candidatus Uhriibacteriota.